CUUCGGCAGUCUCUGGACCUCCGGUCCUCAGCCCUGGCGGCUCCACCACCAGUGGGAAGCUAUUGGAGCAUCUACUGUACGAAGGAAUGCGCUUCACAGAUGCACAGGACAUGGGCUCAGUCAGCCUGACAGGACGUCAACCAGAAUCCAUCUGAUGCUUCUCGCUACAGACACAUUUAAAUGUGUUAACUUGUUCAAAAGUCCCACAACCAGGGUGAACUAUAAAAUUGUCCCAGUGGCCCCUCCGAGGUGCUAAGUGCAGCUGCAGAUGCUUCCAGAUCAUUGUCCACCGGAUCCCACCCUGAGAUGCACUAUUCCACUGGGGACACCGACAAGGACAUCGUGCAGGAGGUGGCAUCAGACCAGACCUUUUAUAGACUGAUUUUAUAUUUUAAAACGAUAGGCGCACCUUGUUUAAUCAUGCUUCACAGACACUGUGUUUUACAAACUGAAGGUUUGGGACAACACUGUGUUACCAGGUGACGGUUAGCAUCUUUUAGCAACAAAGUACUUCUUAAUUCAGGUGUGUGGGUUUUUUUUAAGACAAUGCUACGGCUACAUACAUAACAUACAUAACAUACAUAACAGACUACAGUGCAGUAUAAACAUAACUUUUAUAUGCACUGGAAAACCAAAAACUUCAUGCAAUGGCCUUCACUGAGAUAUUAGCUUUACUGCAGUAGUCUGGAACCAGAUCCACAAUCUCUUUGAGGUCUGCCUACAGUCAGACUUCUCCCAGAUGCCUAGUAUUUUAUAGAUUGUUUUGAAGGGGGCAGAAAGCAACUUUUGUGUUUUUCUUAAAGUAACCUUGAAAGCUGAAUUAUUCUAAGUUUAGAAGCCUCCAGAUAAGGCUGCCAAUCUUGCUCACACCACACAUCCCAACAUUUAAACCCUCAGUGUUGGGAUUGCCCUCCUAUUGGCUCUGAGCUCCUCCCAAUAUUGUUUGUUUUCUUCCAGUCCUUCUGAGAAAGAGAGAAGAGCAAGUCCUCUCCAUAUCUUGGGCAUGCCUACUGUUAGGGACUGAACUGUUUCUCCCCAAAUCCAUAUGCUGAAGCCAUAACCCCCCGUACCUCAGAAUGGGACUGUAUUUAGAGACAGGGUCUUUUAAAAGGAGACAAAGGUAAAAGGAGGCCAUUAGGGCGGGCCCUAAUCCAAUGUGACUAGUAUCAUUGUAAGAGGAAAUUUGGACAUACAUGGAAGAGAGACCGUGUGAGGACACCCUGGGAAGGCAGCCAUCUGCAUGUUAAGGAGAGAGGACUCAC
Long non-coding RNA from Vicugna pacos (alpaca), 1262 nucleotides. RefSeq lists it as uncharacterized. The record is from RefSeq and is a predicted model, not a curated record. NCBI's taxonomy places the organism in Eukaryota, Metazoa, Chordata, Mammalia, Artiodactyla, Camelidae.